UACAGAGGGUGCGAACGUUGCUCGGAAUCACUGGGCGUAAAGCGCGUGUAGGCGGGUCGUUAAGUGUCCGAGUGAAAUCCCACGGCUCAACCGUGGAACUGCCGGGCAUACUGGCGAUCUUGAGGCAUUCAGGGGCGAGCGGAACAAAUGGUGGAGCGGUGAAAUGCGUAGAUAUCAUUUGGAACGCCAAUGGUGAAAACAGCUCGCUGGGAAUGAUCUGACGCUGAGACGCGAAAGCCAGGGGAGCGAACGGG
RNAcentral lists this ribosomal RNA (254 nucleotides) under uncultured bacterium. Its description in RNAcentral is "partial 16S ribosomal RNA". It matches the Rfam family "Bacterial small subunit ribosomal RNA", at positions 524 to 776 of the family's 1533-position model. The record is from RNAcentral.